RNAcentral lists this ribosomal RNA (253 nucleotides) under uncultured bacterium. RNAcentral's name for it is "partial 16S ribosomal RNA". It matches the Rfam family "Bacterial small subunit ribosomal RNA", at positions 524 to 776 of the family's 1533-position model. The record is from RNAcentral.
UACGGAGGGUGCAAGCGUUAUCCGGAUUUACUGGGUUUAAAGGGUGCGUAGGUGGGUAGGUAAGUCAGUGGUGAAAUCUUCGAGCUUAACUCGUAAACUGCCAUUGAUACUAUUUAUCUUGAAUACUCUGGAGGUAAGCGGAAUAUGUCAUGUAGCGGUGAAAUGCUUAGAUAUGACAUAGAACACCAAUUGCGAAGGCAGCUUACUACACAGUUAUUGACGCUGAGGCACGAAAGCGUGGGGAUCAAACAGG